Molecule: transfer RNA, 72 nt
Filed under: Capra hircus (goat)
Lineage: Eukaryota; Metazoa; Chordata; Mammalia; Artiodactyla; Bovidae
Also listed under: 1 other name
Rfam family: tRNA
About the family: Transfer RNA (tRNA) molecules are approximately 80 nucleotides in length. Their secondary structure includes four short double-helical elements and three loops (D, anti-codon, and T loops). Further hydrogen bonds mediate the characteristic L-shaped molecular structure. tRNAs have two regions of fundamental functional importance: the anti-codon, which is responsible for specific mRNA codon recognition, and the 3' end, to which the tRNAs corresponding amino acid is attached (by aminoacyl-tRNA synthetases). tRNAs cope with the degeneracy of the genetic code in two manners: having more than one tRNA (with a specific anti-codon) for a particular amino acid; and 'wobble' base-pairing, i.e. permitting non-standard base-pairing at the 3rd anti-codon position.
Source: Rfam by way of RNAcentral
UCCCUGCUGGCUCAGAGGUUAAAGCGUCUGCCUGCAAUGUGGGAGACCUGGGUUUGAUCCCUGGGUAGGGAA